GUGGGGAAUAUUGGACAAUGGGCGAAAGCCUGAUCCAGCCAUGCCGCGUGUGUGAAGAAGGUCUUCGGAUUGUAAAGCACUUUAAGUUGGGAGGAAGGGUAGUAACCUAAUACGUUGCUACUUUGACGUUACCGACAGAAUAAGCACCGGCUAACUUCGUGCCAGCAGCCGCGGUAAUACGAAGGGUGCAAGCGUUAAUCGGAAUUACUGGGCGUAAAGCGCGCGUAGGUGGUUCAGUAAGUUGGAAGUGAAAUCCCCGGGCUCAACCUGGGAACUGCUUUCAAAACUGCUGAGCUAGAGUACGGUAGAGGGUGGUGGAAUUUCCUGUGUAGCGGUGAAAUGCGUAGAUAUAGGAAGGAACACCAGUGGCGAAGGCGACCACCUGGACUGAUACUGACACUGAGGUGCGAAAGCGUGGGGAGCAAACAGGAUUAGAUACCCUUGUAGUCC
Molecule: ribosomal RNA, 450 nt
Filed under: uncultured bacterium
Lineage: Bacteria
Description: bacterial SSU rRNA
Rfam family: Bacterial small subunit ribosomal RNA
Source: RNAcentral